This 1184-nucleotide ribosomal RNA is filed under the name Mycoplasma haemocanis. RNAcentral's name for it is "bacterial SSU rRNA". It matches the Rfam family "Bacterial small subunit ribosomal RNA", at positions 96 to 1325 of the family's 1533-position model. Lineage: Bacteria; Bacillati; Mycoplasmatota; Mollicutes; Mycoplasmatales; Mycoplasmataceae. The record is from RNAcentral.
UGGCAAACGGGUGAGUAAUACAUAUCUAACAUGCCCCUCUGUGGGGGAUAGCCACUUGAAAAAGUGAUUAAUACCCCAUAGGAAGCUUUAUCCAUGAUUUAGCUUUUAAAGCCUUCGGGCGCUGAGGGAUUGGGAUAUGCUCUAUUAGCUAGUUGGCGGGAUAAAAGCCCACCAAGGCAAUGAUAGAUAGCUGGUCUUAGAGGAUGAACAGCCACAAUGGGAUUGAGAUACGGCCCAUAUUCCUACGGGAAGCAGCAGUAGGGAAUCUUCCACAAUGGACGAAAGUCUGAUGGAGCAAUACCAUGUGAACGAUGAAGGCCUUUUUGGUUGUAAAGUUCUUUUACGAGGGAUAAUUAUGAUAGUACUUCGUGAAUAAGUGACAGCAAACUAUGUGCCAGCAGCUGCGGUAAUACAUAGGUCGCAAGCAUUAUUCGGAUUUAUUGGGCGUAAAGCAAGCGCAGGCGGAUGUGUAAGUUCUGUGUUAAAUGCAGCUACUCAAUAGUUGUAUGCACCGAAUACUACAUGUCUAGAUUGUGGUAGGGAGUUUCGGAAUUAAGCAUGGAGCGGUGGAAUGUGUAGAUAUGCUUAAGAACACCAGAGGCGAAGGCGGAAACUUAGGCCAUAAAUGACGCUUAGGCUUGAAAGUGUGGGGAGCAAAUGGGAUUAGAUACCCCAGUAGUCCACACCGUAAACGAUGGGUAUUAGAUAUUAGGGCUUUAGCUUUAGUGUUGUAGCUUACGCGUUAAAUACCCCGCCUGGGUAGUACAUAUGCAAAUAUGAAACUCAAAGGAAUUGACGGGGACCUGAACAAGUGGUGGAGCAUGUUGCUUAAUUCGAUAAUACACGAAAAACCUUACCAAGGUUUGACAUCCCUCGCAAAGCUAUAGAAAUAUAGUAGAGGUUAUCGAGGUGACAGGUGGUGCAUGGCUGUCGUCAGCUCGUGUCUUGAGAUGUUUGGUUAAGUCCCGCAACGAGCGCAACCCCACUCUUUAGUUACUUGUCUAAAGAGACUGCACAGUAAUGUAGAGGAAGGAUGGGAUCACGUCAAGUCAUCAUGCCCCUUAUGCCUUGGGCUGCAAACGUGCUACAAUGGCGAACACAAUGUGUUGCAAACCAGCGAUGGUAAGCUAAUCACCAAAUUUCGUCUCAGUUCGGAUAGGAGGCUGCAAUUCGCCUCCUUGAAG